AACGAACGCUGGCGGCAUGCCUAGCACAUGCAAGUCGAACGAGACCUUCGGGUCUAGUGGCGCACGGGUGCGUAACGCGUGGGAACCUGCCCUUAGGUUCGGAAUAACUCCCCGAAAGGGGUUCUAAUACCGGAUAAUGUCUUCGGACCAAAGAUUUAUCGCCUUUGGAUGGGCCCGCGUUGGAUUAGCUAGUUGGUAGGGUAAAAGCCUACCAAGGCGACGUUCCAUAGCUGGUCUGAGAGGAUGAUCAGCCACACUGGGACUGAGACACGGCCCAGACUCCUACGGGAGGCAGCAGUGGGGAAUAUUGGACAAUGGGCGAAAGCCUGAUCCAGCAAUGCCGCGUGAGUGAUGAAGGCCUUAGGGUUGUAAAGCUCUUUUACCCGGGAUGAUAAUGACAGUACCGGGAGAAUAAGCUCCGGCUAACUCCGUG
This 433-nucleotide ribosomal RNA is filed under the name uncultured bacterium. RNAcentral describes it as "partial 16S ribosomal RNA". It matches the Rfam family "Bacterial small subunit ribosomal RNA", at positions 29 to 507 of the family's 1533-position model. The record is from RNAcentral.